This 66-nucleotide transfer RNA is filed under the name Pedinopleurus sp. HE-2012. Its description in RNAcentral is "tRNA-Leu". It matches the Rfam family "tRNA". From Rfam's summary of the family: Transfer RNA (tRNA) molecules are approximately 80 nucleotides in length. Their secondary structure includes four short double-helical elements and three loops (D, anti-codon, and T loops). Lineage: Eukaryota; Metazoa; Arthropoda; Insecta; Coleoptera; Staphylinidae. The record is from RNAcentral.
UUCUAAUAUGGCAGAAUAGUGCAAUGGAUUUAAACCCCAUAAAUAAAAGUUACCUUUUUUUUAGAA